UACAACUCCAAUCACCCUUAGCUAGCAAGGCCAGAGCUCAGGGAUGAUGGGAGUUGUAGUCCAACAACAUCUGGGGACCCACAGGUUGAGAACCGCUGCCUUAGGGGAUUUUAGGGCGUGAGGCUGGAGGUCAUCAGUAGAUGGAGCCAGAGACAAUGACGAGCAGAACCACCUAAUUCUCAUUUUGUCCCCAUACUCUUCCCUGCUGAGUUCUAUAAAGGUCAAACAGAGGCUAAGGAGAAGGAGGAAGCUGAAAGCCAAGCCACCCUCUGGAUUGUUUGUAAGUAAGAAGGCAGGCAAGGGAGAGGGCCUGAGGGUUGGUGGGGCAGUGCCCCAUUUGCCCUUCUGAACCUCCCUCCAUCAUGGCCACUUCUGGAAUGCAACCAGGCAUGCACAAUGCAUGAAUUAAGACCCUCCAAACUUGGUGUCUUCAAUGUCACUUACAAGGAGAUUCAUUCCACUUGCCACUUAUAUACUCCAGAAGAUUUAUCUGAGUAGAUCAUAUCCCAUAGCAAGCUCUAAAACAUCUUGAUGUCUUAUUAAUAAGUUAAUUGAAUUCCACAGUUACUCUCCUACAGCUAAUGUAUCUAUGCUUUGUCAUUGACUGAUAGGCAGCGAUGUCUAUGAAGAUACUUAAUAGCUGCUUUCAUGAACAAAUGAACACCUAGAGCUAAAUUAUAAUACAGCAAGUAUUAAUAAGGGACACUGAUAAGCUGGCAUUAGAAAAUUGCUAGUAACAGUAACUGACACAAGAUGGAUCCCACACUCCUGUCUAAGCUGACAGCAAAAGCCCUAAACUAAAUGUAGUAAAAAAAUAAUAAUUUAAAACCUUGUUUUGCUGUGGAGUUUUUUAGCCACAGGAAAGAACAGGCAGUCAAAAAUAAUGUGGGUUUUCUUUUACGGCGCUAUGAUGCACCAUCCUUUGACAAGCACCUAAAAAAUGAUGACCAGAAGCUGUUGUUUGCAUCUGCCUUAAUUUAAGCAGAAGUGGCUUUAUUACAUUAUAUGGAACGGCUAUAACUCUGUGGCAGAGCAUAUACUGUAUAUGUAGAAAGUUUUAGAGAUGGGUGAUUGUCCAUACACUUGUCCCAAACAUGCAUUGUUGACAUUUUCUUCUAGCGAUCACGGGAACUAGAAUUCAGUCUCCAUGAUUUCCAGCCAGAAAAGAGACUGACAGCAUCGCUCACCAAGGAGGCCACUUUACUACUAAUUACUUUACUACUACUACUACUACUCAUCAUCAUCAUCAUCAUCA
Non-coding RNA from Podarcis lilfordi (Lilford's wall lizard), 1255 nucleotides. The record is from the annotation of a GenBank genome assembly. Lineage: Eukaryota; Metazoa; Chordata; Lepidosauria; Squamata; Lacertidae.